Molecule: long non-coding RNA, 762 nt
Filed under: Homo sapiens (human)
Lineage: Eukaryota; Metazoa; Chordata; Mammalia; Primates; Hominidae
Description: HSALNT0188629
Source: RNAcentral
GCCAGGGGAAUGUGGGGGCUGGCCUAGAAUUUACCACCUUCUCUCCCUCACUAGAAGCAAGGAACUGCUCUCGCUAAAUUCCUAAAGCUUUAGGACUCUGAAUCACAGCACAGCACAGCACAGCCCAAGGGGUCAGUUCAAGUCCUUCCUCCACCCCCACACGUUUACAAGCUUUGUAAACAUCAGAGGUUAGUCAGGGAAGCUGGGCUGAAAAGAGAUGGAGGUGGGGGUUAGGAUCCUUGGAAAAGGUUCUGCGAUGUUUGACUCAGAUUACAGGCACAUGUGGUGGGAGUUCUUUGGGAAAAGAGUUCCCCAAGUAGGGGCAGCUGAAACAUGCCAGCUGGAGCAGAGAGGACUUGGGCCUUUAGGAGGGUGGGGCUGCUGACAAGAGGCUGAGGGUGGCCUUGAGAAGGUCAGAGCCAUGAGGGAAGAGGCUGACCCUGGCAUGUACAGCUGGAGGGAGUGGGAGUGAGGCAAUGUGUUUGGAUUCUUCCUCUCUGCCCCUCUAGCUCAUGGCAAUUUGCGUGUUCCUUUAUCUCACGGGAUCCCUGCUCUGAGCCCACAUCAGAGCCCCUCUCUAACAAAGAGGUGCCAGUGUCUGGCCUGCAGGCUGGGUACCUUUCUACUUGCUCCCACUAGCCUCUGCCGCACCCUUGACUCCCACCCUUCUCAGUUUAAGGAUCUGAGCUGUGGUAGCCAUCUCUAGCUCAGGGUGAGGGCAUGGUGCCUGCAACCUCCCUGGGAAUGAAUUAUUGAAGACAG